GAUGAACGCUGGCGGCGUGCCUAAUACAUGCAAGUCGAGCGAACAGACGAGGAGCUUGCUCCUCUGACGUUAGCGGCGGACGGGUGAGUAACACGUGGAUAACCUACCUAUAAGACUGGGAUAACUUCGGGAAACCGGAGCUAAUACCGGAUAAUAUAUUGAACCGCAUGGUUCAAUAGUGAAAGACGGUUUUGCUGUCACUUAUAGAUGGAUCCGCGCCGCAUUAGCUAGUUGGUAAGGUAACGGCUUACCAAGGCGACGAUGCGUAGCCGACCUGAGAGGGUGAUCGGCCACACUGGAACUGAGACACGGUCCAGACUCCUACGGGAGGCAGCAGUAGGGAAUCUUCCGCAAUGGGCGAAAGCCUGACGGAGCAACGCCGCGUGAGUGAUGAAGGUUUUCGGAUCGUAAAACUCUGUUAUUAGGGAAGGACAAAUGUGUAAGUAACUAUGCACGUCUUGACGGUACCUAAUCAGAAAGCCACGGCUAACUACGUG
RNAcentral lists this ribosomal RNA (497 nucleotides) under uncultured bacterium. Its description in RNAcentral is "partial 16S ribosomal RNA". It matches the Rfam family "Bacterial small subunit ribosomal RNA", at positions 28 to 507 of the family's 1533-position model. The record is from RNAcentral.